UAGCAAGAGACAUGAAGGGUAACAAAAAGGGCUUCUACAAGUAUAUCAACAGCAAGAAGAAGAUCAGGGAACGUGUGAGUCCCUUACUGAAAGGGGCAGGCAACCUAGUUACAGAGGAUACAGAAAAGGCUAAAGUACUCAAUGCCUUUUUCACCUUAGUCUUCACAGGCAAAGUUAGCUCCCACACUACUGCACUUGGCAUGACUGGUUUAGCAAGUAAG
Gavialis gangeticus (Gharial) is the source of this 221-nucleotide long non-coding RNA. RefSeq lists it as uncharacterized. The transcript has 3 exons. NCBI's taxonomy places the organism in Eukaryota, Metazoa, Chordata, Crocodylia, Gavialidae. The record is from RefSeq and is a predicted model, not a curated record.